Molecule: long non-coding RNA, 227 nt
Organism: Rhinichthys klamathensis goyatoka
Lineage: Eukaryota; Metazoa; Chordata; Actinopteri; Cypriniformes; Leuciscidae
Exons: 2
Source: RefSeq, a predicted model, not a curated record
GGGGCUUCAGUGGGCGGAGCUACAGCUGAUGUAGGGGCUUCAGUGGGCGGAGCUACCGCAGAUGUAGUGGCUUCAGUGGGCGGAGCUACCGCAGCUGAGAUUUAAAGUCCACUGGAGGGUCAUCGUGGUCUGAGUGAUGUCAUCGCCGCUCAACCAAUCAAAGCCUGACGUGUGUUUUAUGCUGCGUAACUCUGUCCGGCAUCAAUAAACUCAAACCCUUUAAACCA